Molecule: ribosomal RNA, 531 nt
Filed under: uncultured soil bacterium
Lineage: Bacteria
Description: bacterial SSU rRNA
Rfam family: Bacterial small subunit ribosomal RNA
Source: RNAcentral
AGGAUAAACGCUGGCGGCGUGCAUGAGACAUGCAAGUCGAACGGACGAGUGGGCUUGCUCACUCGUUAGUGGCGGACGGCUGAGUAACGCGUAGGUGACCUGCCCCGAAGUGGGGAAUAACUGCCCGAAAGGGUGGCUAAUACCGCAUGUGGUGCCACGUUCAUUCGUGUCUCCAAAGCCGCAAGGCGCUUCGGGAGGGGCCUGCGUCCGAUUAGCUCGUUGGUGGGGUAAUGGCUCACCAAGGCGACGAUCGGUAGGUGGUCUGAGAGGACGAUCACCCAGACUGGGACUGAGACACGGCCCAGACUCCUACGGGAGGCAGCAGCCGGGAAUUUUGCUCAAUGGGCGCAAGCCUGAAGCAGCAACGCCGCGUGGGGGAUGACGGCCUUCGGGUUGUAAACCUCUUUUCCCGGGGACGAUGAUGACGGUACUCGGGGAAUAAGUCACGGCUGACUACGUGCCAGCAGCCGCGGUAAUACGUAGGUGACGAGCGUUGUCCGGAUUUACUGGGCGUAAAGAGCGCGCAGGCGG